Molecule: signal recognition particle RNA, 98 nt
Filed under: Streptococcus parasanguinis
Lineage: Bacteria; Bacillati; Bacillota; Bacilli; Lactobacillales; Streptococcaceae
Description: signal recognition particle sRNA small type
Rfam family: Bacterial small signal recognition particle RNA
About the family: The signal recognition particle (SRP) is a universally conserved ribonucleoprotein involved in the co-translational targeting of proteins to membranes. Archaeal SRP consists of a 7S RNA and homologues of the eukaryotic SRP19 and SRP54 proteins.
Source: RNAcentral
ACUAAUUAGUGGAGCAACAGUUCUGCGUGAAGCGGGUCAGGGGAGGAAUCCAGCAGCCCUAAGCGAGGUGAACUGUGUGCUCUUUUUCUAUAGCUCUU